Molecule: ribosomal RNA, 576 nt
Filed under: Mirax sp. 5 NM-2007
Lineage: Eukaryota; Metazoa; Arthropoda; Insecta; Hymenoptera; Braconidae
Description: eukaryotic LSU rRNA
Rfam family: Eukaryotic large subunit ribosomal RNA
Source: RNAcentral
CAUCGUCAGCGUAUUCAGUAUUAAUGCAAGCUAUGAGGUGAUUAUAUGAUCCUUGUGGUUACCUGUAUUAUACUUGCUUGCAUUAUUUACGGCUGAAUUAUGUCGGCGUGCACUUCUCCUCUAGUAGAACGUUGCGACCCGUUAAAUGUUUAUUUAUGAUCCAAUUGGUAGCCUUUAGAGUAACUUCCUUGGGUGUUUACACUAAAGACCAUUGGUGUUUUCUGAUUAACUGUUUGACGGUAUUCUAUGGUAUUGAGCCGCAAAGUUUUAUUUGCGUUGGACUUGUUGCAAGCAAGAUUAAUUCUAGCAGUGCGGAGUUAGUGCCGUCGCUAGGAUUGUCUAACUGUUAGUGUACAAUGUUCUCUAACUGGCUUAUAUACCGGUCAGCAAUGCUACUGCUUUGGGUACUUACAGGACCCGUCUUGAAACACGGACCAAGGAGUCUAACAUGUACGCAAGUCAUUGGGAUUAUUUUAUUAAAACAAACCUAAAGGCGUAAUGAAAGUAAAGAUUGUCUUUGUGACAAUUGAGAGAAGAUAGGUUACGUUGCGAUGUAAUCUCGCAUUCUCGGGACGC